ACAGAGAGUAGCUUGCUACUUUGCUGACGAGCGGCGGACGGGUGAGUAAUGCUUGGGAAUAUGCCUUUUGGUGGGGGACAACAGUUGGAAACGACUGCUAAUACCGCAUAAUGUCUACGGACCAAAGUGGGGGACCUUCGGGCCUCACGCCAAAAGAUUAGCCCAAGUGGGAUUAGCUAGUUGGUAAGGUAAUGGCUUACCAAGGCAACGAUCCCUAGCUGGUUUGAGAGGAUGAUCAGCCACACUGGGACUGAGACACGGCCCAGACUCCUACGGGAGGCAGCAGUGGGGAAUAUUGCACAAUGGGCGCAAGCCUGAUGCA
RNAcentral lists this ribosomal RNA (322 nucleotides) under uncultured bacterium. RNAcentral's name for it is "bacterial SSU rRNA". It matches the Rfam family "Bacterial small subunit ribosomal RNA", at positions 70 to 390 of the family's 1533-position model. The record is from RNAcentral.